AGUGAACGCUGGCGGUAGGCCUAACACAUGCAAGUCGAACGGCAGCACAGUAAGAGCUUGCUCUUACGGGUGGCGAGUGGCGGACGGGUGAGGAAUACAUCGGAAUCUACUUUUUCUUGGGGGAUAACGUAGGGAAACUUACGCUAAUACCGCAUACGACCUACGGGUGAAAGCAGGGGAUCUUCGGACCUUGCGCGAUUGAAUGAGCCGAUGUCGGAUUAGCUAGUUGGCGGGGUAAAGGCCCACCAAGGCGACGAUCCGUAGCUGGUCUGAGAGGAUGAUCAGCCACACUGGAACUGAGACACGGUCCAGACUCCUACGGGAGGCAGCAGUGGGGAAUAUUGGACAAUGGGCGAAAGCCUGAUCCAGCCAUACCGCGUGGGUGAAGAAGGCCUUCGGGUUGUAAAGCCCUUUUGUUGGGAAAGAAAAGCAGCAGGUUAAUACCCCGAUGUUCUGACGGUACCCAAAGAAUAAGCACCGGCUAACUUCGUG
RNAcentral lists this ribosomal RNA (492 nucleotides) under uncultured bacterium. Its description in RNAcentral is "partial 16S ribosomal RNA". It matches the Rfam family "Bacterial small subunit ribosomal RNA", at positions 29 to 507 of the family's 1533-position model. The record is from RNAcentral.